AUUGAACGCUGGCGGCAGGCCUAACACAUGCAAGUCGAGCGGAUGGAGGGAGCUUGCUCCUGGAUUCAGCGGCGGACGGGUGAGUAAUGCCUAGGAAUCUGCCUGGUAGUGGGGGAUAACGUCCGGAAACGGGCGCUAAUACCGCAUACGUCCUGAGGGAGAAAGUGGGGGAUCUUCGGACCUCACGCUAUCAGAUGAGCCUAGGUCGGAUUAGCUAGUUGGUGGGGUAAAGGCCUACCAAGGCGACGAUCCGUAACUGGUCUGAGAGGAUGAUCAGUCACACUGGAACUGAGACACGGUCCAGACUCCUACGGGAGGCAGCAGUGGGGAAUAUUGGACAAUGGGCGAAAGCCUGAUCCAGCCAUGCCGCGUGCGUGAAGAAGGUCUUCGGAUUGUAAAGCACUUUAAGUUGGGAGGAAGGGCAGUAAGUUAAUACCUUGCUGUUUUGACGUUACCAACAGAAUAAGCACCGGCUAACUUCGUG
RNAcentral lists this ribosomal RNA (484 nucleotides) under uncultured bacterium. RNAcentral describes it as "partial 16S ribosomal RNA". It matches the Rfam family "Bacterial small subunit ribosomal RNA", at positions 30 to 507 of the family's 1533-position model. The record is from RNAcentral.